RNAcentral lists this ribosomal RNA (253 nucleotides) under uncultured bacterium. Its description in RNAcentral is "partial 16S ribosomal RNA". It matches the Rfam family "Bacterial small subunit ribosomal RNA", at positions 524 to 776 of the family's 1533-position model. The record is from RNAcentral.
UACGGAGGGGGCUAGCGUUGGUCGGAAUUACUGGGCGUAAAGCGCGCGUAGGCGGCGAUCUAAGUCAGAGGUGAAAGCCCAGGGCUCAACCCUGGAACUGCCUUUGAAACUGUUGGGCUUGAGUACGGGAGAGGUGAGUGGAAUUCCGAGUGUAGAGGUGAAAUUCGUAGAUAUUCGGAAGAACACCAGUGGCGAAGGCGGCUCACUGGACCGUAACUGACGCUCAUGCACGAUAGCGUGGGGAGCAAACAGG